This 761-nucleotide long non-coding RNA is filed under the name Sitophilus oryzae (rice weevil). Its description in RNAcentral is "uncharacterized LOC115877341". The record is from RNAcentral. Lineage: Eukaryota; Metazoa; Arthropoda; Insecta; Coleoptera; Curculionidae.
AUUAAAAUACGCAACCAACCGUCAUUGAACCGUCCAAUCAGAUCAAAGGAGUAAUCGUUGUAGAUCGUGCGUUAUCGAUGAUGUUCGGUACCUGGAGAAAAUUGACAAUUGACAAGAGAAUUAAUUGUUUAUUAUUUUUGACUUUUUAGUUCGUUUAAUUUAAUAAUUACUAAAACCAGUAGUUCGAAAGAUAUAUUUAAAAAUAAAAGAUAAAAAUCCAAAAAUUAAUUAUCUAUUAACGUGGAUUUGGACGACAAUAGGUUUUUAGUUUGUGAUGUUUCAUGUGAUGAUCAUUUUCAUGUUCAUCGUCUUUGAAUUGACAUGAGGAUAUCUAUGGAAAAGUAACUAAUCUGAAAGUAAGCCAACAUAUCGUUUGUCCUUUGUGUGCUAAAGAAAAGAUUUUCUUUUCGCAUCGUGAGGAAGUAUUACAUCAAUUAAAAAAUGUUAGGAAGUUGAUUACUUGUCAUGGAAAAGUAUACCAAUGGAAAUUAUUUGUUAAAGAAGUAUAAUUCUAAGGGUUUUAAGAAUAAAUUGGUUGAACCCAAAAUCUGGAGGAAGUACCUAUAUCCAUACACAGAAUAUGCCCAUUAAGAAUACUAGUCCAAAUUUGCUUUAAUGGAACGAUUAGGGCCCGAUAUAUUUGAAACUCAUGUUGGACAUAGUAUUGAGUUGGGUAGAAUAUUAUUCUACGUUAAGUGAGGAUAUCAGAUACCUAUUAUUGUACUGUAUUUUAAUAUAUACAUUAGAAUUGUUGGUUUUUU